CACACCUGAUCUGAGCUAGUCAACAUGGAAAAACACCUGUUUCUCAUUUUAAUUACGAUUUCAGGUGCGAUGACUGCGGACCAGAUUUGGCCAAACAAAGAUGCUGUUGUCAUAAAGGAAGAUGAGACUGUGGCCUUCAGCUGUUCAUAUACAAGUAGUGGUUAUGCAUAUUUGUAUUGGUAUAGACAGUAUCCUAACAAAGAGCUUCAAUAUUUAACAUAUUCUUCACAAUCAAGUAGUGGAAGGUUUCGUAUGACUGAAUCACAAUCAUCCACUGAACUCACUAUUACUGGUGUAACUCUGUCAGAUUCAGCUCUCUAUUAUUGUGCUCUAAGAGUUGGAGCCCAGUGA
Non-coding RNA from Sinocyclocheilus anshuiensis, 351 nucleotides. Lineage: Eukaryota; Metazoa; Chordata; Actinopteri; Cypriniformes; Cyprinidae. The record is from the annotation of a RefSeq genome assembly.